This 3163-nucleotide long non-coding RNA is filed under the name Capra hircus (goat). RNAcentral describes it as "lncRNA (ENSCHIG00000004204.1)". Lineage: Eukaryota; Metazoa; Chordata; Mammalia; Artiodactyla; Bovidae. The record is from RNAcentral.
AUGCAGCGGGCGAUGCAGCCGGAGCCGGCGGAGAGCGCGCGCCGGGCACAAAGGCGCGGACCGCGGCCUGGCCCCGCCCCUACCACCUCCCUCCCCGCCUCCCUCUCCAGCCCCGCCCCCGCACCGGCAGAAGCUCCACCCCCCGGCCAAUCCUGGCGCGCCGCGCUCCCCGCCGAGCCAAUGACGGCGCUGUCCGCGCGCGGCCACCUGACCCUGGGCGCCGUUGUUAUUAGGCGCGGCGAGGCCGGCGGCGCGCGGCAGCAGGGUUGGGCUCAAGCGGAGAGUCGACGGAGGGAGCGAGGGCCGGGAACGCGCGCGCGCGCCCCCGCGUUUUUGUUGCUGUCAGCGGCGGCCGCUCGCUUGUCUCCCGCCUCCCGAUACGGUCUUGUUCAGCCCCCUCAGCCCUCCUGCCCUCCUCCCUCGCCGGCCCUCAGACCCAUCAGACAAGCGCUUGACUGUUUUCCCAGUACCAAUCAAGCUAAACCAGUCAGCCUACCCACCAGUCCUGCUUCCCAGAAGGUUUUCUAUCUAGUGGGGAGAAGAAAAGAUUGGUUCCCAUGGCCUCUCAUUGCAAACCAGCUCAUCCUCUGGCAAUCUGAGACCAAGACUGCACAUUCAGCCAGAGCGCUCACCUGACUGACUAGACCCCAGGGUCAGAAGACCUGGGUGUGACCUUGGGCAGUCACCCAACGUGCCUGACCUCAUCUGAAAGGUGGAGGUAAUGUUCAUGCCCAUCUCAUAAGGCUGCUCUGUCACUGAUUGGGAAAAUAGUGGGCGAGGGGGGAGAACCCUUGAGAGUUGCUUUCUCUGAGCUUGUAGCUACUUCAGUGGGUAUGGGGUGGGACACACCUACCUCCUUUGCAAGUGAAGAUGUGGCUGCUCCAAAGGACAGAAGCGUCUGCUUGGGGUCACAGCAAAGUUAUGGGUAAAGCUGGCCCAGAACCAGGAGUUCUGAUCCCCACCCAGCGCCGUAGGCUCUUCCCUCCUCCCCACCCACACCCCACCCCCAUCUCUGUCUUUCUCUCUCCCCCUCCCCUUCUUUCCUCCUCUCCUUGUCUCUCUCUGCAGUGGAUGGAAUUGUGCCCCCUAGAAUUCCUAGGUUAAAACCCUAACCCUCGGUGUGACUUUAUUUGGGGAGAGGGUCUUUAGGAGGUAAUUAGGUUAAAUGAGGUCAUAAGGGUAGGGCCCUGAUCUCAGGAUUGGUUGCCUUAAAGGAAAAGCCACCUCUCUCUCUGCACGCCCCCCCCCCCACCACCACCACCACGUGCAUACACUAAGGAGGGCCUUGUGAGCACUCAGUCAGAUGGCAGCAGCCUGCAAACCAAGAUAAGAGGCGUCAGAAUGGAAACCUACCUUGCUGGCACCUUGACCUUGGACUUGCCAGCCUCCAGCACUGUGAGGAAUUUCUUUAUCAAGCCACCCAGUCUGUAAUGUUUUGUUAUGGCAGCCGAAAGAGACUAAUAUACUCUCUCUGCUUCUGUAACGUCUCUCUCUCUUUUUCUCUCUGCUCGCUCCCUCCCCGCAGUCCCUGACUUUCCCACAGCACUUUCGCCCUCUGCUGGCCAGUCUCGGGUUAGCAGGCAAGGUCCGGGCCUCGGAGAGGGUCUGUCUCAUCCAAGGCAGUAUCUUCCCACCCUCCCCCCAACACACACACCGCACACACUCCCCAGGAUGAGAGUCGGAUGGCAUCUCACCACCCCUUGGUUUGCCCUCCCUCACACCCAAUAACCCAGCACACCGUAAUCCCUGAUACAUGAGCAAACACUUUUUGUUCUAAGCUCCUGAGUCAGGGCCGAAACUGACCCAUCUCUUUACCGACCCUCAUGCCCACGUACUCACUCACUGCCCGGCACACAGUAGGUGCCCACUAAAUGAGUGACUAAGGGAAGACACUCACUUAUGGGGAUUUCAUGAGUUCUUGUAUUGGGUGGGCGGGGGGGAGGCUCUGACUGAGGAAGGGAACGUCUCUUCCUUCUGGUGGAACCCCCCAUAUGCACACUUCACAUGGUGUCUGGGUGGUGCCCACGCUCACUCCCUGCACACAGCGCCAAGCAGUGCCCGCCCAGGCUACAGGUGACGGAUGGGGAGCCCCGUCUCCUGCCUCGUUAAGUGGCCUCCCACCCAGCUCCACCAGCCAACCUGGAGCAGGGGACGUGCAUCUCUUGGUUUGUCACUUGGCAAACCAACUCAGAGGAAAGGAAGACAAAGCGACUGUCUCCGUAAUUCAGCCCCCUCAGCCCGGGAAGGAACUGUAUCUGAGGUGGCUAAUUAAGAUGAAUCUAUCCGAGGGGAGAGGAAACCCCAGCUUCAGCUUUCUAGCUUAAAGGCUGCUCCAUCACUCUGGUUCCUAAAUCAGCCGUGGGAGGCAGGGGUGGGAGGGAAGGGAGUCUCCUGGCCCAGUGUGCUCAGCCAGCCUCCUCUCAUCCCCAUCAGUCCAGGAUGAAGGUGAAGAGAGUGAGGAACUCACCUGGGGCACAAGAUUUCAGGGGGCGCCACGAGCAGGAUCGUACAGGGUGAGCGUCAGCGAUCCCUCCCUUCGCCUCCGGCUCUCCUGCAGCUCAGCACUGUGCUGCUCCUGAUCUCGUCUUUCACUUUUUGAUAAUUUAUUCAUUGCGGACUUUUUUUGCAUGAAUUUUGAUUUUUUUUUUAAUAAUGAAAGUGGGGACUUAGAUAUCUGUAUAUCCGUGUUCUUAGCAGCAUUAUCCACAAUAGCCAAAGAAUAGAAAACAACCCAGGUGUCCACUGACGGAUGAGGGGAUAUAUGAAGUGUGGUGUAUCCAUAAUGGAAUUGUAUUCAGCCUCUAAAAGGGGAGGAGAUUCUGACACGUGCUGCGGCAUGGAAGAACCGUCAGGACGUUUUGCUAAGUGAAAUGAACGGUCACAAAAAGUCAAGUGCUGCGUGAUUCCACUUACAUGAAGUCCUUAGAGCAGUCAAAUGUAGAGAGACAGAAGGCAGUGUUACCCCUGGGGCUGGGGAGAGCAGGGACUGGGAGGUUAGUGUUCAGUGGAUACUGGCUUUCAGCUGGGGAAGAGGAGAGCAUUCUAAAGAUGGAUGGAGGCGAGGCUUGCACAACAAUGUGACUAUACAAUGCCACUGAACCGAACAUACAAAAUAGUUAAUAUGGUAAAUUUUUUAUAUUUUACUGCAAUAAAAAUACUGCAU